GCAUAUCAAUAAGCGGAGGGAAAAAGAAACUAACAAGGAUUCCCCUAGUAACUGCGAGUGAAGCGGGAAAAGCUCAAAUUUAAAAUCUGGCGGUCUUUGGCCGUCCGAGUUGUAAUCUAGAGAAGUGUUACCCGCGUCGGACCGUGUAUAAGUCUCCUGGAAUGGAGCGUCAUAGAGGGUGAGAAUCCCGUCUUUGACACGGACUACCGAGGCUUUUGUGGUGCGCUCUCAAAGAGUCGAGUUGUUUGGGAAUGCAGCUCAAAAUGGGUGGUAAAUUCCAUCUAAAGCUAAAUAUUGGCGAGAGACCGAUAGCGAACAAGUACCGUGAGGGAAAGAUGAAAAGAACUUUGGAAAGAGAGUUAAACAGUACGUGAAAUUGCUGAAAGGGAAACGCUUGAAGUCAGUCGCGUUGGCCGGAAAUCAACCUUGCUUCUGCUGGGUGUACUUUCUGGUUGACGGGCCAGCAUCAGUUUUGACCGAUGGAAAAAGUCCAAGGGAAUGUGGCAUCUCAGGAUGUGUUAUAGCCCUUGGUCGUAUACAUCGGUUGGGACUGAGGAAUUCAGCACGCCGAAAGGCCGGGUCUUUGACCACGUUCGUGCUUAGGAUGCUGGCAUAAUGGCUUUAAUCGACCCGUCUUGAAACACGGACCAAGGAGUCUAACAUGCCUGCGAGUGUUUGGGUGGAAAACCCGAGCGCGUAAUGAAAGUGAAAGUUGGGAUCCUUGUCAUGGGGAGCACCGACGCCCGGACCUGAAGUUUACGGACGGCUCCGCGGUAAAGCAUGUAUGUUGGGACCCGAAAGAUGGUGAACUAUGCCUGAAUAGGGUGAAGCCAGAGGAAACUCUGGUGGAGGCUCGUAGCGAUUCUGACGUGCAAAUCGAUCGUCGAAUUUGGGUAUAGGGGGCGAAAGACUAAUCGAAACCAUCUAGUAGCUGGUUCCUGCCGAA
RNAcentral lists this ribosomal RNA (946 nucleotides) under Coprinopsis narcotica. RNAcentral's name for it is "LSU rRNA". It matches the Rfam family "Eukaryotic large subunit ribosomal RNA", at positions 38 to 965 of the family's 3401-position model. The record is from RNAcentral. Lineage: Eukaryota; Fungi; Basidiomycota; Agaricomycetes; Agaricales; Psathyrellaceae.